RNAcentral lists this unclassified non-coding RNA (205 nucleotides) under Hevea brasiliensis (rubber tree). Lineage: Eukaryota; Viridiplantae; Streptophyta; Magnoliopsida; Malpighiales; Euphorbiaceae. The record is from RNAcentral.
CGGAGAGACAAUGGAUAAUAGGAAGAUGGGAAAAAGGUUUGAGGGGAAGGUCGCCAUUGUUACUGCUUCAACUCAAGGUAUCGGCUUCCAAAUUGCUCAGCGUCUCGCCUUGGAAGGUGCCUCCGUCGUUAUUUCUUCCCGUAGACAGAAAAACGUUGAUGAGGCAAUUGAAAAACUCAAAGCUCAAGGACUUGAAGUGUUAGGG